GACAGAGGGUGCGAACGUUGUUCGGAAUUACUGGGCGUAAAGCGCGUGUAGGCGGCAGCGUAAGUCGGGCGUGAAAUCCCACGGCUCAACCGUGGAAGUGCACUCGAAACUGCGCAGCUAGAGUCCUGGAGAGGAAGGUGGAAUGCUUGGUGUAGAGGUGAAAUUCGUAGAUAUCAAGCGGAACACCGGUGGCGAAGGCGGCCUUCUGGACAGUGACUGACGCUGAGACGCGAAAGCGUGGGGAGCAAACAGG
Molecule: ribosomal RNA, 253 nt
Filed under: uncultured bacterium
Lineage: Bacteria
Description: partial 16S ribosomal RNA
Rfam family: Bacterial small subunit ribosomal RNA
Source: RNAcentral